UUUUUUUUUUCUUUCAACAAAAUGAUUAUAUUCUUUUCAUGAUGAAAUAAAAGUAUUUUCUUUCAUUUUAACAAACCGAGUAUCUUUUUUUUUUCAUGAUAUAGAAAAAAUAUUUUCUUUCAUUCAACAAAAUGAGUAAUAUCUUUUCAUGUUGUAGAAAUGAUACUUUCUUUUUUAACAAAAUAAAAUAUUUUUUUAGUUAUCAAGCUCAAAUUUCAACAUUGUUCUUGUGUAAAAAAAGUAAAGUAGCACAUUAGUUCUUUUGGGUUAGUGUGAAUUUUAAAAAGAAUAAUUAAAUUCUUGAAGAAAAUAGAUUCGGGAUUGGGGGUAGGGGGGAGGGGAGUACAAAAACAUGGGGAUUUUGGGGAAGGCUAAUGAAGGAAAGUAGCAUAAAAUAUUAUUUUCCUAAAAUUAUUUUAUACUCUCCAACCAAACACUAGAAAAUAUUUUACGGAAAAAGUUUUUACUCACCAACCAAACAAUGAAAAUUAAGUAAUAAAAACACUUAUUUUUUAAGAAAAUAUUUUCUAGGAAAAUAUUUUACAUUCAAACCAAACACACCAUUAAGGCAUAACAAUUCCAAAAAGCUAUCUAUUUGCACUAAAUAACUAACAUGAUCAAGGAGAGAACGAGAUGCUCCCAUCGCACCCAACACAUGAAACACCCUACAGUCCUAUUUAACAGGAACUUCACAUGAAAACUGGCGACAUUCUUUAACUAAGGAAGCAGAGAGUCAAUAAAAUAAACCUGCUAAAUAAAGAUUGAAUUCAUUUUUAGAACCUUCAGACUUAAACUCUUUUCCUUUGUUGAUCCAUACUAAUUCAAACUGGAGACUUGCAUCUUUAUCCUUAAAAGUCAAUUAUGCAAUAAAAAUAUUUUUUAAUCAAGUAAGAUAGGCAUAAUAUCAAGAACUCUCUUUUACAUGACACAGAUGGAAACAACAUGCUACACCAUUUCGUUCUCAAAUCUUGAAUCCCCUAUUACAUAAAAAAACGCCAUUUUUAAGCUAAGACCGAAGAAACCACAGAUGCGACUUAUAACAAUUCAACCUGCUUAAAAUUAAACCCCUAGGAAAGCACUCAACUAAACAAUUUAAACAUACAGAAGUAAGCUCAACAAUCCAAUAAACCAUCGAGCACGACAGAUCUAGCUUACUAUAAAUUUAGGGAUUUUUACCUAGUUAUACUAUAUUAGAAACUUAUUUAUCUAUUUUCUUUAUGUUUUGUAAUUUUUAAUAAGUAUAUAGGUUUUUCUUACAAAUUGUAUACGUUGCUCCUUAAAAGUCUCUCACCUCAUUAUUAGUCCCUUCAAUUAAGGGAUUCAAUUACAUCCUUUCUUUUUUUCCCCUCUCCUCUUCUCUUUCCUUUUUUUUUUACAUCAAAAUCCCAAUCUACACCCAGAAUCUCCAUCUUCUCUCUUCCCACCAUUGCCGACAGUUUUAUAUUAUUAAAAAGUCAUCUAUUGCAUCGUUAGACACUGAAAAUGAAGAAACAUUCAGAUUGUUGCCAGAAUUAUUCUCAAUGUCGUUCCAUUAAAAAUCUUUGAAGUUUUGAAUUCGAUAUUCAUAUUUUCAGAUUUUGCGAUUUAUUUGGAUUGAAUAUUCUUAGAAAUGAUUGAGAAUAUGCUUUAGAGUUUAUAUCUCAAUUUUGAGGGAGAUUAGUUAAGUAUAAAGUUGGUUUUAGGUGAAAUUUCAUAUUGAAACUCGAAAAAGAAGAAGUUGCAGGAAUUGUAUGAUAAUUAUAUGAUAACUGUAUCAUAAUUGUAUUUGAAUUGUAUCAGAUAUAUCAAUGCCGAAAAUAUAAUUGUAUCAUACUUAUAUUAUAAUUGCAUAUAACUUGUAUCUGGUACAUUAAUACCAAAAAUAAUACCUGAUACAAAAUUAAUAAAUUAAUAUAUCAUUAUCAUAUAUUUGUGAUACAAACUGUGAAAUUGGUCACGAACUCACAACUGCUCGUAACAUUAUAUAAUGAAUAUACAAUUAUCUUACAUUUGUAAUACAAUUCCUACAACAAUUAUGAUACAUAUACAAUUAUAAUGAAAUUGUAAGGCCCCGUAAAAUUUCACCUAAAAUCCGAGGUUUCGUGGUGGUGAGGUAGGCUGAUAUGUUUGGUGAUGGAAGAAAAAGAUAUUUUUGCAGCCCACUAUGCGGCCGCAGAAUGGCCGCAGAGUGAAGCAAGAACUUGAGCAAAAUUUGUGGGCCAUUAUGCGGCCGCAGAAUUAUUUUUCGGGCCACAGAUUGCAUCUCAAGAUCGACAUGAGAAAUUCCCGGAGGAGAUUCUACGGUCCGCUUUGCGACAACAGAAUCGAUAUGCGGACUACAAAACGGACGCAUACCCAGGCAGCGGUGCCUAGUUCCGAAGAGCCAUUUCGCGGCCCGUUUCACAGACCGCAGAACCAUUAUGCGGUCGCAUAUGUAACUGCAGAUUCUGUUUCGGAACUUUAUUUUUUUAAUUUUUAUAACACGACCCCAUUUUAUUAUAUAGAGUCUAUGGAGCAUUUCUUAAGUAAGAACGUGACAUUUUGAGAGUGAGAAAGUGCUCUAGAGAGGGAGAGAGUUCCUUAACCAUUAGUUCCUCAAUUAUUACUCAAAUCUUGAAAGAUUAACAAGGAAAACACACUAGUUCUUCAUCCUAGAGGUAAGAUUCUACACCCUAACCCUCAAUUUUGAAAUUUAACUAAAAAUAGGUAAUUAGUAAGGUAAUUCUUGGGUGUGGGAGUUAUUUAUUUUUACAUGCAUGUACUAUCAAGGGUUGGGGGAAGAAUAUUGAGCUAAAUUGGGUAGACUUUGGGUAGUGGGGUGAAAGAAUCCACCAUGGGAGGACCUUGAAAUCAUAAUACCCACCUAGUAUUUGAUAGAAUGCUCAAAUGAGCUGCAACUAUAAACUCUCUCCUAAUUUGUGUACAAUUUUGCUAUAUUUCCAAAUAGAUCAAAUAAGUUAAGAAUUCCGGAACAUUGUAGUAAUUUAAAAAGGCUCGAGGCAAGGUAUGUUUGCUAAACUCCUCUUUUAGAAUUGAACCCAAAAUGGCCUUGUAAGUCUCGUGUUGCUCAUUAUAAAUUGAUUAUUCCGAACAAGCCUUGUGUCAAAAGAUAUAUGCGUUCGAAUCGUAUUCCAAACGUUCUUCUUUCUUGAGUUGCUAUUUGGGAAGGUGAUUAAACAUGGGCUAUGUGUUAAUAUGUCAUAAUUUGAAGCGUGAUUUUAAUGAAAACUAGCAUGUCGAAUUGUGUAAGAAAUCACAUGUGUCUAAGACCCUUAAUUUGGUUAGUUACUCAUAUGUGUAUCUAAAGUCUUGAAUUAAAAUGUCUUGUUAUUGAUAGUCUAUAAGGAUGCUUGAAAGUGAAAGAAGGUUGUUGGAGAUGGAUAGUGUGGCCACCGUGCCAAUAAUGAGAGAUACUUGUGCCCAAACGUGGCUGUUUUAACUAUUGCUAUGCUUUGUAAGUGUUUCUAAUGUGUCUUUAGCUCUUAUAUAUAUUCAUGAGUUGAAAUUGUGUAUUUUUCUUUCUGAGAAAAGUAUUUCAAGAUUAAAUAAUGUGUAACUCAUUUAUGCUUCUAACUUGUGCUUUGACAGCCAACCAUUUUACUUCAUUUCUUACAAAAGGAAUUUAUUGUGUUUAAGUCUUCAUUGCUAAUAACUUAAAGUUGUGAUUUCCGGAAUACUCUAUAUGUUAAUGUUUAUGAUGAUGAUCCUUGAAAAUAAAGAAAAGAAAGUAUGAAAUAUGAAGUACGGCCGUCGUGCCAUGAAUAAUGAAUCUUGUGAAUGGCCAAAAGAGCCAAGGAAAUAAUGUUGUUGUAAGUGGUUGAAAAUACUAAUGAAGGUUUAUACAAUGUGAAAGAUGAUGAGAUAAAUACAUUUGUGCUUUUGUUUCCGUUGUGUGUAAACCAAAAAUGUUUUGGGGAGUAUUAUUAGCAAACCGAGGAAGGGUAGGUCAUAAGGCCCACACCCGAAACUACACGUGCCAGUGUAGGGGUAGAUGGUGAUGAAUUGUGAUUAUUCCCCUUAUUUGGGAUGUGAUUGAUAUUAGCUUUGAAUUGGAAAGUAAACGCACACAGCAUAUGUGGGAAGGCGUCCUAGCCUAUUGGGUGGAGAUCGGACGCCAUGCUGUACACAUGGUGGUACUACUCUUGGUAACACCAUUUGUUUGCAUCACAUGUCAAACCACAUUGUCCGUGGGGAGAUGGCCGAGCCGAUGAGGCAUGAUCGGACUCCGUGCUAAAAAUACGGUGGUAUAUCGGUGCUAAUGAUCUCCCAACCAAAAAUAUAUAUUUGUUUUUCGUAUUUUGAAAACUGAUAUGUGUUAACUAGGCAUUUGGAUAUCGUUGAUUGUGACUUGCUAUUUCUACGGUAUUCCCUUUCUUAUAAUGGUAUUCUAUUUUGAAAGUGGACAUUUAGCUUUACAUACUAGUACUAUUCCAUAUGUUCUAACGUCCCUUUUACUAGGGGGCGCUGCAUCUUCAAUGGAUACAUGGGAUUCGUCAGCAGGUGGUUUUGACCCUCGUUAGCAGUUACUCUCUAUUUAGUAGAUUUUGGUGAGCCUUACUCUAUUCCGGGCUUCAUGUCAUUUGACAUUGUACGUUACAUUUUGAGGUAUUGCUGGGGCCUUAUCGUCGGCACAUCUAUACUACUCUUCUGUUGUACUUAGAGGCUCCGUAGACAGGUUGUGGGUAGUAUAUGAUGUUGGGAAUUAAACUAGUAAGUGUUGGUAUUUGGGCGAACAUCUUUUUAUCAUAUCAGUAAACUUGUUAUAUAUUGGAAAUCAUAAAUGAAUAUCUUUUAGUAGUGGAAAAUAUUGUGGAACACUUAACUCUUUUCAUGUCUAUCACCUAUACUGGUUUUUAUAUUAUUUAUGGGCAAGGUUGGGUAGAAGGCAUCUAACACGCUUGCUUAAUCGGGGUUGAGCGCCGGUCGCGCUCCCCGAGGUCGGGACGUGAUAAAUUUUGUAUUAGAGCCUAAUGUUUUUAAGUGUCCUAGGAUGUUUCGGAGCCGUGUCUAGUAGAGUCCUUCUUAUCGAUGUGUUGUCGACCACAUCUAUAAUGGGGAGGCUGCUUGGACAUUUAGGAAUUUCACACUUCUUUGAUACUCUAGAUCGUGCGAUAGAGCUCAAGAUAGGAAGCUAAUUUCCUCGUUAUGCCUCAUUUUCCAGAUGAGUAAUGCACGAGUUCGAAGCAUAGAUGAGGGAAUAACCCCACUAUUGGAUCCGCGGGAGAUUACACAAGAGUUCAUUGGGAGAAUGCAUCGAGCCAUGGAGGGAUUGGAAGAACUUAUUUCUAAGGGAAGUGUCCUUGUUCCCACCAAUGUCACCGCACCACCGGAUUGUGUGGUAAGAGAAUCUAAGAAACGAAAGAGGGUUGUUGGUUCUAAUGAACCGGAUGGUUUGAUUUUCAAGAAGCGUCACUUGGGGGUAUGUUGGAUGAAUCUUGAAAUAUGUUACGGUUGUGGAAAGAGGGGGCACAAAAAGAACAAAUUCCCUAAGUUGGGUACAGACAUCCCAGUCUACCCGAUGUGCGGGAAUAAAUAUUUGGUGUCGUGUUGUGAGUAUGCUCAGCAGCAUGUUAGGGGUGGAAGGUUUGGGAAAUUCCAAAGGCCCACAUAGUAAAAUGGUAUGGGGUUUGCUACUCCUGCAUUGGAGGCCUGGAGGAAGGAUAAGUGAUGUAUGCAAAAAGGGUGAAUAUCAGGUCAGUGGGGCGAGUAUGUUUAGCGGACCUCAUCCUCGUUGUGUGAAGUGUAGGAUGUGUCAUUCACGGGUAUUCACUAUGGCACUAGUGUAUGAUACAAGUGUGGUAUGAGGGGUCACGUUCAGAGAGAUUGUUGUUCAUCUCGCCAGAGCAUGGGCGGGGGUGUGACACAACAAUUAAAUUAUGUAGCUACUACAUCCACAACGCCUCCCCCAGCUAGAGGCACUAUACUGACUGCGGGGCGUGUAGAAGCUAGGGGUGGUGUUCAGAGCUCGGGAGGGCACAACAGGUUUUAUGCUAUGAGGAGGCGUCAAAAGUCGGAGGCUUCUCCAGAUGUGGUUACAGGUAUAUCGAUUGUCCAAUCUCAUGAUAUAUAUGCCCUUAUUGAUCCAGGUUCCCACUUUGUCAUAUGUCAUUCCUUAUGUUGAUAUGGAAAUUAGGAUAGAAUCGGAACAACUUUAUGAGCCAUCCUCUGUAUCUACUCUUUGAACGAGACAUAUCAAUUGUGAAGCCUCUUUAUCACAGUUAUCUUACUUACAACCUCUUAAGCAAUUGAGUUCUAUAAUUAUGUCCUUGAAUUGAGUUAUUACCCUAGGCAAAUACUUCCCCACUUGCUUCUCUAAAUGCUCAAGAAGGGACUAUACCUGAUGAAUCUCUUACAGAACCUUCUGAUUCAAAUAGAUAAGACCUACUCACUUGUAUUUGUGCAUGCACUACCAUAAUAUUUAUCCACAGGUUAUCGAAUCUAACGUAAGGUAGCCUAGUGCCGAGAUCUUUCUUGAGCCAGUCUCUUUCUCUUAUGCACGUGACUCAUAUGGUUUGAAAAAUCACUUUACUCCUUUGUGAGCAUUAUCAUAAACCCUUUCCACUGUCUAGUAACAUAAGAGCAUAUCUUUGCACCCAUCAUAUGUGAAUGUGUCAAUUGAAAUGGUCAUUCGUUCGCAUAAAGUUUCUCGGAAAUUUGGGAUUUCUCACAAAUUCUCCAUAGGAAUAUCUAUUGUUCGCCUAUCUCAGUACGACAUUCAUGUCCACCUAAAUCAUGCCUCAGUGAGUAAUUCACUUUGUUCCUAGUAUUGUAGUUGCCCAUUAAGUGGCCUGGUAUUGCAGCUUGGGAGUUAUUAUGGCAAAAACCAUGUCUAGCUCAUAGCGAAGUGUUCAUUCUCUCUAACUAGCAUGUGAUUUUAUCCCAAUAUUAUGGUGUCCUAGCUAUGUGGUUUCACUCGUGAAAGGUUGAAAUUAGAUACAUCCAGAUUUCGGCAUAUAUCAUGGGCAUAUUGAUUUGAAAGAUAAGUUUGUCAUAUCUCUAGUCCUCUUAUAUAGGAUCAACUAUUGGAAUAGGUUAAGUUGUCAGAAUGAUAAUAAUCUUACAGGUGUUCAACUUCUUUUUCAACCUCGUGGGCUUGUGGUAGAGAUUCCUUGUGUUAGUUAAUGUUGAGGGCAUAACACAACGUCAUGUAUUUUUGAAAUCUCUAUCAUAUUCAUGGUUCAAGAAUCUUCUCAUUUUGAAUUAAACUGAUCUUCCCUACACUCAAGGAGGCAACUGGUGUCAUGUACUUUACUAUUUCUUUUUAAGGCUUACAAUUGCCGAACAAGGCACAUAUGGAGUGAAACAAUUGUUACUAUCACUUUCGUGACUUAUCAUCUUCCCAAAAUAACUGAUGCUAAUGUUUUAUCCUCCCGAUCAUGCCUCCCAUACAUCCCAUGUCUAAAAUGACUCACUAGUUAUACAUCUUAGGAUCAUGUACAUGGUUCCCAUAUUAUUAAUCUGUACUGGUAACUCUAUGCCUCGUUUGUUGAACCGAUGAUUCCAUCACAAUGAUUAAACAUGGUAGCACUAUUGGUGGUCACCCUCAUGUCUCUUAGAAUAUAACCUCUUAAAAUGGCCUUCUCAGUACAAUGAUGGAUUCUUGAACAAUUCCAGCCUAAUCUCGAAUCUCGUUGUUCCUAUUUGUGGUAAAGCUAUCGAGAAUUGUAGGUUCAAACAUGUCAAAAAAUAAGCAUCAUUCCAUGAUCGAACAUAUUGGAUAGGAACUCUAUGGUCAUAUUCAUUCUAGCACAUCGUAGAAUAAUAGUUGAAAGUCGCCAAAGGUUUAGUUUGGGUAUUCGGCGUAGAGAUUUAGAGUUGAAGAAAGUGAAUAGGUUAUUCUCAAGAUUUUCUCCAUAAAGAUACUAUGUGAAUUGUUAAUAGAUGUAAGAUAGGUGUAGUUUACAUUUGGGCCUUAUGAAAUCUUGAAGAAAAUAAAAUGGGCCAAGUUAUGAGUAUGGUGUGUCUCCCAUCGUUGUUCUCCAUGCAUCGGGUGUUUCAUGUGUCUACGCCCGAAUGGGUAGUUGGGAGUUGUUUGUCUAUCAUUUGGGGGGGAAGCUAUGGAAGGUGAAGUUAAUGGGUAAUUGGCUUAUGAGAGGUACUUAAUUGUCAUCCUUGCUAGAUAAGUCCGAUAAUUGAGAUUGCCUCCGUCAAGUGCUAUGGCUAAGUCUGUGAGUCGAGGAGGUUGCCUCGAUAGUCGAGAGUGUUGUGGAAAGGGAAUAUUCUUACUCGAUUGUAGAGCCAAAUGGCUGCGGUUCAAAGGGUACUUUCUAUGUGUUAUGGUUUAAAUGUGUACAGUUCAUGUGAAGAUACCACUUCUGUUAAUGUAAUUCCCUAAUGUUGAGAUCAGUGUUAUUGAUAUAUAUACUACGAUGCUUUGUUGAGUUAUAGAUAUGUUGUUAGGGUGGUUUUGGUGAUUCUAUAGCAGGUGGAUAGGCCCAAUUACAGAGGAGACUUUGCCGAAAUAUUUGGAAAAUUUGGGAGUCAGUCAAAUUUGGGGGAUUGUGAUGUGUGAAAGGAGGGAAUGAAUUAUGUUGGGUGUUUUGGGGCGGACUCUACUCCUCAUUCGAGGACAAAUGAUCCUAAGUGGGGGAGGAUGUAAGGCCCCAUAAAAUUUCACCUAAAACCCAAGGUUCCGUGGUGGCAAGGUAGACUAAUUUGUUUGGUGAUGGCAGAAAAAGACAUUUAUGCGGCCCACUAUGCUGCCGCAGAAUCACUCUGCGGACCGAAGAAUGGCCGCAGAGUGAAGCAGGAACUUGAGCAGAAUUUGUGGGCCAUUAUGUGGCCGUAGAAUUACUUUACGGACCGCAAAUUGCAUCGCAUGAUCGACAUGAAGAAUUCCGGGAGGAGAUUCUGCGGUCCACUUUGCGACCGCAGAAUCGAUAUGCGGACCACAGAACGGUCGCAUACCCAAGCAGCGGUGGCGAGUUCCGGGGGCCAUUUUGCGACCCAUUUCGCGGAUCGCAGAAGCAUUAUGCGGUCGCAUUCUGUUUUGGAGCUUUAUUUUUUUUAUUUUUAUAACCCGACCCCAUUUCGUUAUAUAGACUAUAUUGACCAUAUCUUAAGUAAGAACCUCAUAUUUUGAGAGUGAGAAAGUGCUCUAGAGAGGGAGAGAGUUCCUCAACCAAUUGUUCCUCAAUUCUUACUCAAAUCUCGGAAGAUUAACAAGGAAAAUACACUAGGUCUUCAUCCUAGAGGUAAGAUUCUACACCCUAACCCUCAAUUUCGAAAUUUAACUAAAAAUAGGUAAUUAGUAAGGCAAUUCUUGGGUGUGGUAGUUGUUUAUUUUUACAUGCAUGUACUAUCAAGGAAUGGGAUAAGAAUGUUGAGCUAAAUUGGGUAGACUUUGGGUAGUGGGGUGAAAGAAUCCACCAUGGGAGGAACUUGAAAUCAUAAUACCCACCUAGUGUUUGAUAGAAUGCUCAAAUGAGCUGGAACCAUAAACUCUCUCCUAAUGUGUGUUCAAUUUUGAUAUAUUUCCAAAUAGAUCGAAGAAGUUAAGAAUUCCGGAAUAUUGUAGUAAUUUAAAAAGGCUCGAGGCAAGGUAUGUUGGCUAAACUCCUCUUUUAGAAUUGAACCCCACAAUGGCCUUGUAAGUCCCGUGUUGCUCAUUAUAAAUUGAUUAUUCCGAACAAGCCUUGUGUCAAAAGAUAUAUGCGUUCUAAUUGUAUACCAAACGUUCUUCUUUCUUGAGUUGCUAUUUGAGAAGGUGAUUAAACAUGGGUUAUGUGUUAAUAUGUCAUGAUUAGAAGCGUGAUUUUAAUGAAAACUAGCAUGUCGAAUUGUGUAAGAAAUCACAUGUCUCUAAAACCCUUAAUUUGGUUAGUUACUCAAAUGUGUAUCUAAAGUCUUGAAUUAAAAUGUCCUGUUGUUAAUAAUCUAUAAGGAUGGUUGAAAGUGAAAGAAGGGGGUUGGAGAUGGAUUGUGUGGCCACCGUGCCAAUAAUGAGAGAUACUUGUGCCCAAAUGUGGUUGUUUUAACUAAUGCUAUGCUUUGUAAGUGUUUUCAAUGUGUCUUUAGCUCUUAUAUAUAUUCAUGAGUUGAAAUUGUGUAUUGCCCUUUUUGGGAAAAGUAUUUCAAGAUUAAAUGAUGUGUUACACAUUUAUGCUUCUAACUUGUGCUUUGAUUACCAACCAUUUUAUUUCAUUUCUUGGAAAGGAAUUCAUUAUGUUUAUGUUGAUGUUUAUGUUGAUGAUCCUUGAAAGUAAUAAAAAGAAAGUGUGGAAUAUGAAGUACGGUUGUCGUACCAUAAAUAAUGAAUCUUGUGAAUGGCCAAAAGAUCCAAGGAAAUAUUGCUGUUGUGAGUGGUUGAAAAUACUAAUGAAGGUUUAGACAAUGUGAAAGAUGAUGAGAUAAAUAUAUUUGUGCUUUGGUUUCCCUUGUGUGUAAAUCAAAAAUCUUUUUGGGAGUGUUAUUAGCAAACCGAGAAAGGGUGGGUCAUAAGGCCCACAUCUGAAACUACACAUGCCGGUGUAGGGGUGGAUGGUGAUGGAUUAUGAUUAUUCCCCUUAUUUGGGAUGAGAUUGAUAUUAGCUGUGAUUUGGAAAGUCAACCCACAUGGCAUAUGUGGAAAGGUGGCCUAGCCGAUCAGGUGGAGAUCGGACGCCAUGUUGUGCACAUGGUGGUACUACUCUUGGUAACACCCUUCAUUCGCAUCACAUGUCAAACCACAUUGUCCGUGGGGAGAUGGCCUAUCCGAUCGGGCGUGAUCGGACUUCGUGCUAAAACAACGGUGGUAUAUCGGUGCUAAUGAUCUUCCAACCAAAAAUAUAUAUUAUUUUUCGUAUUUUGAAAACUGAUAUGUAUUAACUGGGCAUCUGGAUAUUGUUGAUUGUGACUUGUUGUUUCUAUGGUUUUCCCUUUAUUAUAAUGGUAUUCUAUUUUGAAAGUGGGCAUUUAGUUUUACAUACUAGUACUAUUCUAUAUGUACUAACGUCCCUUUUGCUGGGGGCGCUGCAUCUUCAAUGGAUGCAGGUGAUUCUUCAGCAGGUAAUUUUGACCCUCAUUAGCAGUUACUCUCUAUUCAUUAGAUUUUGGUGAGCCCUGCUCUUUUCCGGGCUUCAUGUCAUUUGACGUUGUACGUUAAAUUUUGAGGUAUAGCCGGGGCCUUGUCGCCGACACAUCCGUACUACUCUUCUGUUGUACUUAGAGGCUCCGUAGAUAGGUUGUGGGUGGUAUAUGAUGUUGGGAAUUAAACUAGUAAGUGUUGGUAUUUGGGCGAACAUGUUUUUAUCAUAUCAGUAAACUUGUUAUAUAUUGAAAAUCAUAAAUGAAUAUCCUUUAAUAGUGGAAAAUAUUGUGUAACACUUAACUCUUUUCAUGUCUAUCACCUAUACUAGUUUUUAUAUUAUUUGUGGGCAAGGUUGGGUAGAAGGCAUCUAACACGCUUGCUUAACCGGGGUAUCUCGGUUGAGCGCCGGUCGCGCUCCCCGAGGUCGGGGCAUGACCGCAAUCGCAAUGCAUUUCUGAAAAAAUUUGAUAAAAUUAUGAUCUUCAUCUUCUUCAAGUUUCAAUCUCAACUCUACACUAAAAAUCUAAUAUAAUCGCAUUAUAAUUGUAUAGCAUUGUAUCAAGUAUUGUUUUGGGCAUUGAUGUAUCAUACACAAGUCACAUAUAAUUUUGAUACAGUUGUUAUACAAUUCUAAAAUAAAUAUGAUAUAAUUAUCAUAUAAUUCCUAUUCUUUACCAUUCAGUGAGGAGACUAGCUGCAAUCGAAGUUCAAACCCAUUACAUUUUAGUGAAGAGAUAGCAAUUUGGGAAGAUUUCUAUAAAACAAUCAUAUAAUGAUUCUUAUUGCUAGUGAAGCCAUUGGUAAUGCAGAGUACAACUGUAAGGCCCCGUAAAAUUUUGCAAAGGAAAAAUAAUGUUUCAUCGUGCUAGACUAGGCUUACGUGUUUGUGGAUUGUAAAAUUUUGGGUUAAACAAUGCACCAGAAAGUAAAGGAAAAUGUUUGGCAAUGUAAUGCGUUUCUGCGGUUCAUUAUGCGACCGCAGAAUCACUCUGCGGACCGCAUAAUGGCCGUAGAGUGAGACAGAUAAUUGGCUCAGUUGGAAGCAAUUAUGCAGUAGACUAUGCGACCGCAUAGCUAUUAUGCAGACCGCAUAGUGAUCGCGGACACAAACAGAUGUUUGGUCGUUUUGGACACCAAUUAUGUGACCGAUAUGCGGUCCGCAUAACCAUUAUGCGAUCGCAUAUGCGACCUGUUCCGGAGCUUCAUUUUUGGAUUUUUAAAACCCGACCCUACUUCAUUAAAUACACGUUUUGGGCCAUUUUUGAGAUAUAAUCUGACAUUUUAGAGUGAGAGAGAGUGCCCUAGAGUGAGAAGGUGUUCUUUAAUAAUUGUUCUUCAAUUCUUACUCAAGUUUUGGAAGAUUAAGAAGGGAAACUCACUAGGUCUUCAUCCUAGAGGUAAGAUUCUACACCCUAACCCUCAAUUUCAAAUUUUGUCUAGAAAUGGGUAAUUAACAAGAUAAUUUUUGGGCAUGAGAGAUGUUUAUUUUACAUGCAUGUGAUAUCAAAGGUGUAGGAAGAUUGUGGAGCUAAAAAUGGUAAAGAUUGGGUUGUAGGAUGAUGAUAUCCUCCAUAAAGGGACCUUGAAACCUUAAUGCACACCUAGGGUUUGAUAAAAUGCUCAAAUGAGCUAGAACCAUAAGCAUCUUCCUAAUUUUGGUUCAAUUUGUUAUAUUUCCAAAAUAGAUUGAAGUUGCUAAGAAUUCCGAAACGUUUUAGAGUUUAAGGAAGGUCGAUUGAGGUAUGUUGGCUAAACUCUUCUCUUAGAAUUGGAUCCCACGAUAUUCAUAUGAAUUAUGUAAGUCCCGAGUGAUUCAUUAUAAAAUUGGCUAAUUCCGAGUAAGAUUGGGUUGAAAGAUAUAUGUUCAAUAAGUACCCCAAAUGCUUUAUUCAUGUUAUGUUACCAAUUGAAGAUGUGUUAAAAUAUGGGUUGUGCAUUAAUAAUGUUUUGACUUUAAGUCAAGUUCAAACGAAGGCUAUUAUGCCAAAUUUUUUGAAAUAUCUCUAGGUGCCUUAGACUCUUAAUUGCUCUUUAAGUCAAGUUCAAACGAAGGCUAUGAUGACGUUGAUGUUUGAAAGUGAAAAGGUGAGCAUGAAAUACUAAAUAUGGCCAACGUGCCAAGUAUGAUCUCAUAAAUUAUGGCCAUUAGUGCCAAUUAAAGGAAAAGAUGUGAAAGUAAUAUGAAAUGCGAUGAUUGAUACAAAAAGGUUGAAAUCUCGAAUAAGACAGCCUAGCCGAUCGGGUCGUGAUCGGACACCAUGUCGCACACAUGGUGGUGAUUGUGUUGGAAAUUGUAAUUAAAAUUGAGAUUUUGGUUGAUGUCUUCAAAUAAGAUAGCCUAGUCGAUCGAGUGGUGAUCGGACUCCGUAUCAAAAUAGUUCGUAUCAGAAUGGUGAACUCGCCUAGAGCACAAGUGUUAAUAGAAGAUGUGAAGGAUCAGCUGUAAUGAAGCCGACUUGAGUGAAACUGAAUAUCAAUUAAAAGAUUCGGAGGGAGUUCAUGUCUACAUAUUACAUUGGAAAGAUAGACUACUGGUGAUGAAGUGGUGGUGUGAUAAACUCAACAAAGCAGGCACAAUGAUACUACGAGUUCAUGGGAGGCAAACAAGUGUGUGGCACAAUAAGGUUAUCAACUAUGAAUUAAGGGAAAAAUGGGAUGGGAGUUAAUGCUCUUGUCACAAAAGAAAUAUAGUACCAACAUAUUGUCUUGACCAAAGGGGAAAUGUUUGAAACAAAUUAAGAGAGGAUGAACACUUGUUAGGAACCAAACAUGUUUAACAUGAUAGCUCUUAGGCUGCAAUACCAGGAAGCAAUAUUGAUGACUACAGUACUGGGAAUAAGGUGAGUUACUCAUGGAAUCAGGUGGAUUAAGUCCUACACUUAUAAGUCGUCGUUGAAGAAUUUAGGAGGAUCUUAAGUUUCAGAAAAGGCUCUGUUCGGGCUAAAUUUAUAUGAAGGGUAUCGAUAUGUGUUUUGGGAAGUGUUUAGCAGUAAAGAUGAAUCGUGAGAAUGUUCACAAGGGAAGUAGAGUGGUGUCUUAAAAUCCUAUAAGACUUAUAAUGAGGAAAGAGGGUGGCUAAGAAAGGUCUAAGCACGAUGUUACUUCAUAUAUUGAGGCAAUGCCAUACAGGUUGAUAUUAUCAGGGUGUGCGCGUAAGCUAGUAGAUGUUAUUCAUUUGAAACAGGUGGUCAUAUAAGAAAACUGACCUAGUAAUGUCUUUUGUUGAGAAAUUUGGGAAAAACACGUUGCAAGUACUAAUGAUGUUCCACUAAUGAUGCAAUAUAGCAAGAUGAUCAUUUAUGCCUCUAGGUUACUCAAGAAUCAUGAGAAAAAUAAUCAAACAUAUGACUUAGAACUUGCGACUGUGAUUUUGACAUUAAAGAUUUGGCGUCAUUAUUUGUAUGUGGUCCAGGAGGACAUAUUCACGGACCAAGAGUUCCUUCAAUAUAUUUGCAAAUAAAAGAAAUUGAAUAUGAGGCAGAGAAGAUGGCCUAAAUUACUGAAGGAUUAUUACAUUGAUAUUUAUACCAUCCGGGGAAGGCCAAUGUUGUGGCAGAUGCUCUUAGCCGAAAAUCUAUGGGUAGUUUGGCACACUUGGAGGCAUAUCAAAGGCCAAUGGCCAAAGAAGUUCACCGAUUAGCUAGUUUGGGAGUUCGUCUUGCGGACUCUAGUGAAGGAGGGGUAAUUAUGCAAAAUAGGGCUGAAUCAUUGCUUGUUGUGGAAGUCAAAGAGAAUAAAUACAACGAUCCAUUGUUGGUGCAAUUGAAAGAGAGGAUUCAUAAACAUAAGACCAUGGCCUUUUCUCUUGGCAUGGAUGAUGGUACACUAAGGUACCAAGGGCGAAUAUGUGUUCCAAAUGUGGAUGGUCUCCGUAAAAGAAUUAUGACUGAAGCUCACACUUCUAGGUAUUCUGUGCACCCAGGAUCUACGAAAAUGUAUCAUGAUCUUAAGGAAGUCUAUUGGUGGAAUGAUAUGAAGAGGAAUAUAGCGGAAUUUGUGGCGAAGUGUACAAAUUGUCAUCAAGUGAACGCCGAACACCAAAGGCCCGGUGGGUUGGCACAGAACAUAGAAAUUUUAAUAUGGAAGUGGGAAAUGAUUAAUAUGGACUUUGUGGUAGGAUUACCGCGCACUCCGCGCAAGUUUGACUCAAUUUUGGUGCUUGUGGAUCGACUCACGAAGUCAGCACACUUUAUGUCGGUUAAGUCUACCGACACGGCGGAGCAGUAUGCUCAGUUGUAUAUCAAAGAAAUAGUCAGGUUGCAUGGCAUCCCGAUUUCCAUCAUAUCUGAACGGGGAGCACUAUGCUACCGUAGAACAGUUAUGCUGACCGCAUAAUGACCGCAGACACAGACAGAUUUUUGGUCAUUUUGGACACCAAUUAUGGGACCGAUAUGCGGUCCGCAUAACCAUUGUGCGGUCGCAUAAUGCGACCGCAAAACCUGUUCCGGAGCUUUAUUUUUGGGUUUUUAAAACCCGAUCCUACUUCGUUAAAUACACGUUUUGGGCCAUUUUUGAGAUAUUAUCUGACAUUUUAGAGUGAGAGAGAGUGCCCUAGAGUGAGAAGAUGUUCUUCAAUAAUUUAUCUUCAAUUCUUGCUCAAGUUUUGGAAGAUUAAGAAGGAAAACUCACUAGGUCUUCAUCCUAGAGGUAAGAUUCUACACCCUAACCCUCAAUUUCGAAUUUUGUCUAGAAAUGGGUAAUUAACAAGAUAAUAUUUGGGCAUGGGAGUUGUUAUUUUACAUGCAUGUGAUAUCAAAGGGUGUAGGAAGAUUAUUGAGCUAAAAAUGGUAAAGAUUGGGUUAUAGGAUGAUGAUUUCCUAAUUUUGGUUCAAUUUGUUAUAUUUCCAAAAUAGAUUGAAGUUGCUAAGAAUUUCGGAAUGUUUUAGAGUUUAAGGAAGCUCGAUUGAGGUAUGUUGGCUAAACCCUUCUCUUAGAACUGGAUCCCAUGAUAUUCAUGUGAAUUAUGUAAGUCCCGAGUGAUUCAUUAUAAAAUUGGCUAUUUCGAGUAAGCUUGAGUUGAAAGAUGUAUGUUCAAUAAGUACCCCAAAUGCUUUAAUGAUGUUAUGUUACCAAUUGAGGAUGUGUUAAAAUAUGGGAUGUGCAUUAAUAAUGUUUUGACUUUAGGUCAAGUUCAAACGAAGGCUAUUAUGCCAAAUUUUGUGAAAUAUCUCUAGGUGCCUUAGACUCUUAAUUGCUCACAAGUGUACUACACACCUUGAAUUGAAUUGUUGUUGUUGGUAAUGAUGACGUUGAUGUUUGAAAGUGAAAAGGUGAUCAUGAAAUACUAAAUAUGGCCAAUGUGCCAAGACUGAUCUCAUAAAUUAUGGCCAUUAGUGCCAAUGAAAUGAAAAGAUGUGAAAGUAAUAUGAAAUGUGAUGAUUGAUACAAAAAGGUUGAUGUCUCAAAUAAGACAGCCUAGCCGAUCGGGUCGUGAUCGGACACCAUGUCGCACACAUGGUGGUAAUUGUGCUGGAAAUUGUAAUUGAAAUUGAGAUAUUGGUUUAUGUCUUCAAAUAAGACAGCCUAGCUGAUCGGGCCGUGAUCGGAGUCCGUGCUAAAAUUACGGUGGUAUUGGUAUUGAUAGUAAUUGUGGUUGAUUCUCUAAUGAGAUAGCCUAGCCGAUCAGGCCGUGAUCGGACUCCGUGCUAAAAUUACGGUGGUAUUGGUAUUGAUAGUAAUUGUGGUUGAUUCUCUAAUGAGAUAACCUAGCCGAUCGGGCCGUGAUCGGACUCCGUGCUAAAAUUACGGUGGCAUUGGUAUUGUGAACAUCGAUAUUGUGAACACUGGUAUUGUGAACAUUGGUAUUGUGAAUAAUGGUAUUGUGAACAUUGGAUAUCGAUACUAAAAAUCUCCCAAUGUGAGAUAUGGAAAUUAAUUGAAACACCGUCUUGAUCCUAAAUUGAGGUUUAAUGAUGAUCAAAUCUUCCAUUAAUAUUAUGAUAAUUUUGUUUGUAUUAUUUGUCAUUCUAUUGAGAGGGUGUUUAGUUAUACAUGCUAGUGCUAUUCGACAGUAUUAACAUCCCUUUUGCAGGGGCGCUGCAUCUUUAAAUGGAUGCAAGUGGUUCCACAACAUGAGAUAUUGAUCAGUGAUAGCAGUACACCUUCCACCCAGCUGACUUGGUGAGCCCCACUUCAUCCCGGGGUCAUGUAUCAUUUGUGCUUUGGGUAUUCGAUUUGAGGUAUAGGCGGGGCCUUGUUGCCGGCAUGAUCAUUUUACUCUUCUUCAUCUAUAGAGGCUUCAUAGACAUAGUGUGGGUUGUGUAUUGGUGCUGGGAAAGACAAAAUAUGUUAUGUUGUGGUUGUAUUAUUUGUCCAUUUGAGACUUAAAAAAGGAUGAAACUAUUGGAAAUGAAUUGGUAUUGUAGACAUUAACACCUUUUUGUAUAAUUAAUGAAAAUAUGUAUUAUCUCCAUUCGCGGAUGAGUUUGGGUAGAAUGAAAUCUAAUAGGCUUGCUCGGUCAGGUUCACUCGGUUGAGCACCGGUCGCACUCCUUGAUUUUGGGGCGUGACAACAGCUUGAAAGAGAGACAAAGGAAAAAAAGAAAAUAAGAUUUUAGAACAAUAUUCUGAAUUUCGUCUGCACUGUAUCAAUAAGAAAGUUUGCAUAUAGCUUCUUUUGUCUCAAGUUCUGGAGCACGAUCCUUAAACGUUGAUCAUGAUCCUCCCGGCUACGGGAAUACAUCAAGAUGUUGUCAAUACACACAAUGAUGAAUGAGUCAAGAUAUGGUUGGAAUACACGGUUCAGCAGGUGCAUAAAUCUUGCUUGGGCGUUGGUCAUGCCAAAUGACAUCACAAGGAACUCGUAGUGACCAUACCGAGUCCUAAAAGAAGUCUUCAGAAUAUCCAGAUCCCGAAUCUUCAGCUGAUAAUACCCUGACAUCAAAUAAAUCUUCAAUAACAUUCUGACACCCAGAAGCUGGUCAAAUAAGUCAUCAAUGCGUGGUAAUGGAUACCUGUUCUUCACUGUAACAUUGUUCAACAUUGAGCCAUCCUUCUUCUUUACAAAUAGAUUCAGAGCACUCAAAGGUGACACGGCAGGCCGGAUGAAACCCUUAUCAAGCAACUAUGGCAGCUGUUUGUAACGACCCGACCGGUCGUUUUGAGAAUUUGCAUUAUGUUCAGUUAUUUGAAGUCUUUAGUAGCUUUGUAUGAUGUAUUUUGACUUGUGUGAAUCGUCGGUUUUGGUUUUCAGGUGAUUCGAAAAAAUGAUUCUCAACUAGUAAAAUUUAAGUUGGAAGAGUUGACCAAAUUUGACUUUUGAGUAUUUGACCUCGGAUCGAAGUUUUGAUGGUUCCGUUAGGUCCAGAUAGUGAUUUUGGACUUUGGCGUAUGCCCGGAUAUGCAUUUGGAUAUUUCUAAAAGGUUUCAGCACUAGCUGGCGAAAGUGGGCAAUUUGAAGGUUUGGAAUGUUCAUAAGUUUGACUGGAAGCUGACUUUGAUGAUAGUGGGUUCAGAAUUUGGUUUCGGUAAUUGGAAUAGAUUUGUUAUGUAAUUUGGGACUUAUGUACAAAAUUUGAGGUCAUUCCGGGUUGAUUUGAUAUGGUUCGACACGAGUUUUGGAAGUUAAAAGUUCAAAAGUUCAUUAAGUUUGAUUUGAGGUGCGAUUCAUCGUUUCGAUGUUGUUAUGUGUGAUUUGAUACCUUGAGUAGGUCCUUGUUAUGUUUUUGAACUUGUUGGCAUGUUUGGACGGGGUCCGGGGGGCUCGAAUGAAUUUCGGACAAGGUUCGAAUCAUUUCGGAUGGUUGUUGUAUAGCUGAUUGCUGGUGUGUCUGCAAAGGAUCGGGAUCGCGGAGCCAGGAUCACAAUCACGUAGAGGGAUUCUGGAAUUGAGUAAUUUUCUUCAUCGCUUUCACAUCUUUGGGAAUACAUUCAUGUAGGUUUUUGUUAGUUACUGUUCGCGUUCGCUGACGAGCUAAAAACACAACACAAAAUUAUGCUCGCUAGUCGAAUAUAGUAUAGAAAAUAUCGCAUCCACAAGGAUUGGAUUUAAACAGUGUUUUCGUAGCUUCUAGUUUUAAUUGCUAUCUAAGAUAAUCAACAAUUUAGAGUUGUGUGAUUUAAAACUAAAAUUUGCUAGAAGUCUAAACUAUUGGCUAAUGACAAUCGCAACAAGAGUAAGCAAGAAGAUAUCAAAGGGAGAAAAUAGGUGUUGAUUGGAUAGGUGUAAGAUACUUGUUCGGGAACUAACUCUAGUCGAUUCACUUCUAAGUUUCAAGUGAAUAUCUCGAAUUCACUCUAUUAUGUUCAAACAUUCAGUAGAAACUCCUCUCUCGAUUAAGUCUCAACCUUACGAUAUGAACUAAGUUAAGCUUGGUGAAGUUAUACAAGAAUUCGUAUUGGAUUGAUCCUUAGGAGAACCUCUUUCGAUUAUCCUCCUAACUAGGUCUAAACAUUAAUUCAACUAGCCUCUUUCGAUUACUAACAAGAAUCAAUGAAUACAACUAAUAAGAUAAUGCAAAACAUCAGAAAUUAUACAUCUUUCGAUUACAUAAACAAGUGAAUAUAUAUGCAACAAUAAAAACACCCAAAAUGCUUCAAUAUAUAAAACUAGAGUUAAUAUCCACAAACAAUUCUCAAAAUAUCAAAUCCAUCAAUCCCUAAGGAAGAAUUACUCCUUGGAUAUGGACAAAUUCAUCACAAUUAAGUUUAAUUCAAAGUAAAACAUAAAACAUCUAAACCCUUGUCUUGAGUGAGGAUGAAUGGUGAAAUCCUUGUGCUCUUGCUUUACCCUCUUGUCCUUAGCUUCCUUAGGUCUAAAUUAUGUCAAAAGUCCUCAAAAUAUUAUUUUUCCAUGUAAAUAUACCAGGUAGGGUCGGGACCAAACAAAUACACCUUCUCCUACGCGAAAUAGGAUACUUUUUCCGGACAGGACGUGCGCGGCCGCACGCCUGGAAGUGUGUUCGCGCACUUUUCACCCUGUUCUGCCUCAUAUGCGUGCCCAAUGCGCGGCCGUGCACGUGAGUUGAGGUCUGUUGGGAAUUUAGAAAAACGUAAAACAUGAAAGUUGUAUCCCUUUUAAAUAGAUUUCCAAAGAUAUAUUGUGGAGCCCAAACGGAGUUCUGAGCAAAAUGUUAUAUGCAUUUUACUGAACACUAUGCAAUAUGUCUGCUCAAUUCUUCGUUUCAUUCCACUAUCAUCCGUUCAUCCACGAACACGAUCCCGACUUAAUCCUUGGGCUUUUACUCAGUGAUAAUCGGCUUAAUGUAUGUAUAUUUUGAUAUAUAUCACCUCACAUUUUGCUCAUGUCUCGACGAUUUGAGAUGUUUAAUAUGAUUAUUUAUGCUAAAUUUUGGUAUUUCUAUGUGUAGGGAUCAUUCGGAUGCAAUUUGGGAUGAAAGGGCGCGAAUUGGAGCGAAAUCGGGACAAAAACGCAAAAAGUGAAAUUUGAGGGCCACAGCCAGCGUGGGGCACUGGCUGUGGCGCAAUUUACAGUAGCCAAAAUAUUUGAGAGCCAGGGCCAGCGCCCCACGCUGCCCUGGACGCUCAAGACGGGAAAGUGUCCUUUUUCGACUAGGACUCGGUUAUUUCGACCCCUAGACGCCCCCAACUCAUAUAAAAGCCAACCUAAACCUAUUUUUGAAGGGGAGGACGUUUUGAGAGAAAAAACACAAGCACAGAACCGCUGUGGAGGCCGAAAUUCAUCAAGUUCCAUCUUUCUCUCACCAAACUUAGUAAUUUUUAUGUUUCUUUGUAUGAUUUGUUGUUUGGCUACCAUGUCUAUGUGGAUCUAAACUUCACGUUCUAGGGUUGUGGUUCUUUCAUGACUAUUAUUAUUCGGAUAUUGAUUUUGCCUUCUUGAUUUAUCAUAUUGGUUUAUUUAUUCAAUUUUGCGCUUAAUUAUUUAAUUGCUUGAUCACCAAUUGAAUACUAUCUACGAAUCUAGAAUUGAAUUCGAAAGUGGGAAUUAUAUAUUGCAUAUAGGAUUGAGUAGAGCAAGUUCUUGAACUCGAGCAUCGGGGAACGGAUUCGUGGUUAGGAUAGACAUAUACCUAAUUGCCUUGCUUGUUUGAUUUACAGGAAUUAUAAAUGCGUUCUUGUUGAUUCUAACUCCAUAGACAUAUAGGCGUUAGGUUAGCUUGAAUAGGCGAGUAAGAACUCAACAGAUUCUUAUGAGCAAUAUUAACCCUAUCAACCAAUAAGCUAGAUAAAUUAGUCGGUCAAUUCAAUUUAAGAAUACAAUAUGAUUGUUAGAUAGCCCAUAACCCUAGAUCGUUUUCAUUACAUUGAUAUCAUAAAAAAUCUGCUCUUUCUCUGUUCAAAGUUUAUUAUUUAUAUUUUUUUAUUUAAGUAGUUUAGAAUAAAAUAUUUUUAGGUUUAAUUCUUGUUUAGAUAAUUAGGAUAGUCUAAUUUAGUUAAUAGUUAAUCAUAAGUCCUCGUGGGUUCGAUAUCUAACUUUUAGUCACUUUAUUACUUGACGACCGCGUAUACUUGCGUGUGCGUUUGGCCGCAACACUCAAGCUUCAAAGCUCCCGACUAGCUUGAAUUCAUUCCAUAACAUCUACAUAGAUUUGAAUCACUCCUACAAGGCAUAAAACACACAGUUAGUGCAAAACACUAGCGAUUAAAGCUCCAACUCAAUUAAAGUGCAGUAAAUUAGUGUACAAUAAUCAACUAAAACAUGCGAUUAUAGCCUACCAUCAUUCACAUAUGAGGCACCGCAUUCGCAUUGAGCUGAGCUGAGAGCUAGGAGAUGGAGACUUCUUCAUCAUGUUCGCGUUAGCUGUGUCGCAAUCGCGUAGUGUAGAUGUGUGUGGUCAUCACGUUCGCGUGGGAGUUAUCACGAAUGAACUGAGUAUUUUUUGAGGUAGUUGCAUUUGUUCUUUGCGACCAUGUAGGAUAUCUCGCGAUCGCGAUGGGCGGACUAUUCAGUGAAUUAUAAGUACUAUAUUUUGAGGGUUUCAGACAAUUUAGCAUAUUUUGAGUUAUGGAGCUCGGAAUAAGGCGAUGUUUGAGGUGAUUUUCACCACAUGGUUUGGGGAAAGUGUUUUAUACUCGGUAUUUAUUUUAUUUCGUGAUUCCAUUUUCAUAUUUGGCAUAUGAUUGAUGAUUUCAAAAGAGAAAUUGUAGGUGUUUGUCUAAAUUUUCCUAAAGUGAAUUUUUGAGUUUUGAACAACUAUUCAGAGGCGGAUUUGAGUGAAAUUAGUAUGGUUGGACUCCUAAUUGAAUGAGUUGUAGUAUUUUGUGAGUUUUUUCGGGUUCCGAGGUGCGAGCUCGGGUUUGACUUUUUGGUUGACUUUGAGUUAUUGAUUAAAGAUUCGACCUUUAUCAUUUGGGAUUGUUUCCUUGGGCAUUAUUGGAUGCUUUUGAGUUACUUUUUGCUAGUUUCGAGCUGCUCGGAGGUUGAUAUGCACGGGAUGGCAUUUAUAGAGUAUUGUUUUGCUUGAUCGGUAUUGUUUUGGAUUGUUUGAGGUGAGUAUCGUAUUUAAACAUGGUUGAGGCACGAGUUGCCUGAAUUAUUUGUGAUAGCUACGUACUAUGGGUGCACACAUGUGUGGGGUUUGAGCCCAUGUGUGAACACCGGGGAUAUUUAUCCAUUCUCGGGUUGUGCUUAGGCUAUGAUAAGCAUAGAAUUGACUGUUAAGAUUUAAGCUAUGAUGUUUCUCAUAUUUGUAACAUUGUGUGAACUAUUUGAGCCGUGUUUGAGGCUACAUAGAGGUUUAAUCCCCGAAUAAACUUGAUAAAUGCUAUUCUGUGAUGAAAUUGCUGAUUGGUGCUAUGAUAGCACACUUUGCACAUGCCUACACUUUAGCAUGAGAUUUGUUAUUCAUUCAUCACAUACAUGUAUUCUUGUUUAUUUGCUCUUGUGUGAUAUGAUUUGGAUUGGGUGCCUGUGACCACACCAGGCAGAUUAUGUUGAUAUGCUUGUGACCACGUCGGGCAAAUUGUGUUGAUAUUCCCAUGACCACACCGGGUGGAUUUUAUUAAUAUGCAUUUGACCUCACCAGGCGAAUUGUGAUAUAGCAUGUAACCACAUCGGGCGGAUCCAUCACAUUGAGCCUGUGACCACGUCGGAUGGAUUAUGAUAUUGAGCAUGUGAUCACGCCGGGCUGGUAGCACAUUGAAUUGGCCGUGCUUGCAUGUAGAUAAGGAUCUACCCCCUAGGGUCACCCUCUCAUGUUUCUCUCUUGCUGGUGUACACACAGAAUGUGAGAAACCGACAGGUUUCUGGUUGAUGUGAGCUUGGGGAGAGCUGGUUACGUUGAAUUGCCAUAUAUGCAGCAUUGUGGACUUGUCGGAACACUUUCAAACAAAUAAUUGUGACCAUAAAAGUGGUUUUACCUGAGAUUUCCUGAUUUAAUCAUAUAUCUGUUCUAUACUUGUUGAAAUUAUUAACUGCACAGGUGUUAGUGAGCAUCAUCUAUAGUUCUUGCUUCUUUUACCUUGCCGAGGUUAGUUAGAAUACUUAUUGAGUACAUGGGGUCUAUUGCACUCAAACUAUACUUCUACAAUAUGCGUGUCGAUCUUGGAGUUGUUGCUGAUGUGUAUGGCAGGAGCUGACAUUGAAGAUGUAGCCGUGCUCCAUUUAUGGCUAUCACUUGCCCUUGGUAGCUUUAGAUUCAAAUUCUAUUCCAGUACAAUCCAAACAGAUUUUGUAAUUAUUUCAGUUUAGUUUUUAAAAAAUCUAUGUCUUAGUGGCUUAUGACUAGUACAACCAGUCCUUGGGGAGUUGUAUAAAAUUUAGUUAUUUCAUUUUUGAAUCUUAUCAUUGUCAUUAUAUUUAUGUUUUAUUGCUAUUUGGCUUACCUAGUGGGUUGGGCUAGGUGCCAUCAUGAUGGGUUGGAUUUUGGGUUGUGACAAAUUGGUAUCAAAGCCCUAGCUUCAUAGUUCUACGAGUCAUGAGAAGAUGUCUAGUAGAGUCUUGCGGAUUAGUAUGAUGACGUCCUUACCUAUCUUUGAGAGGCUACAAGGCAUCUAUUAUAAACCUCCCAUCUUUCAUUCUUUAUCGUGCGGUAUUGAUUCAGCUUGAAGCAUAUCUCUUUGAAUUCCUUCCUCUCACUCAUAUGUGUAUGUAAGCGCUCGAUAUCAGCUGUGCAUUGAUGGCUUGUGAUUUCCAUGAAGGAGGUGCGAGAUGUCUUUUCUGUGUUUUGAUGGCGGGCCAUUCUGGAGGACUUGAGGCUGGGGUUUGACCGCGACUUGGGCUUGAUGGUUUCAGUUAUGAGAGUAUGCGCUUGUUGGACUCAUAUGCCCGGUGGUGUCCCUAGAAGUGGGAUUUAUGGCUCGGCGAAUGGUUGGUUAACUAUAUAAUGUGUAUGAUGUGACUGCGGGAUGUGUUCAUAUGGUUUUUAGUACGACGUUAAGAUUUUGCUUGGUAUGUGAAAGGGCUACGAUCACUUAAUUUAUGUGGAUGUAUUAUACAGUUUUGAAUUAUGAGUGUUUUGAUGGAUGCUUUCAUGUUGUUCAUUUGUGGAACGAAGUAAAUUAUCUUAUCUUGUAGAUGAGUUCAGACUCGGGAAGAUUAAGUGAUUGCGUAGUAAUUGUGGUUGUGAAAGAGUAUAGAGAGAUGGCAGUUUGAGGCUAAGCAUGUGGGUUAUCACCUACGGGGUAAUCUAUGAAUGUAUGAUCCUUAUGAUGUUGUGUGGAGGGUUUCUUUCUACCAGUGGGUUAUAUGUGUUGCGAUUUGUGUUUGGAUUGGUUGAAAAAGUUGACCUGACUGUCACGAGGAUGAAUGCGAGCUUAGCAGAUGAUUUGAACUAUUGUAUGGUUUGUGUUGCAUGAGUUUGUGAAGAAUUUAGUUGAAUCUCACUACGGGGUUAUGGCAGUAAUAGAGUAUGGGUAUUGUGAGUUAUCAGAUGUUUUAUUAUAUGGCGUUGAGCCAAGUAGGGGAGUCUACCAUCGGCGAUUUGAUUGCAUGGUUAUGUGCUGUAUUGGUUUCGGUCUGAGGCAUACUUAUGGAUCGGUUAUGACUUGCAUAGGUUAGUUUUGAGGAUGACUUGAGUAAGGGAUUUCUGGAGGCAUGAUGUAUUAUACCUUAUGGAUAUAUGAAGUCUUGGAAAUGUCCUAGGGUUGUUGUUCGUGAUAGAUGUAAUGUACCAAGAAAAAGGAUUCACUCGGUUGUUUAUUGGUACGGAUUACUUCUUUGGGUGUUAUUCUGCUAAUGGGGCACAAGUUGUUCGACCCGUUUGGGCGGUGCAAUUGAGAUUUGAGCAGAGUGGAUGACUCUCGAGAAGGUUCUAAUGGAUUCAAGAUUUAUAUGUGGUAAUGGAGAAUUUCUCUGAAUUUGUAUAUGGCUAAUAACUGAGAUUUGCAUUGGAUAGUGCUAGGACUUGUGGUAUUUCUGUAUCCCUAUGAAUUCUACAUUUCAGUAUCCGGGAGGUAAAAGGAAAAACUUUAAAUUCGCAGAAGGUCUCUUCAGAGUGGGUGUCUCAGUUGUGGUACCUUUAGGGUGCUUAAGAGGGAAUACAACGGCUUAUGGGCCUUGGGGUGAUGUGGUUUUAUGCUAAGAUCUCUCAUGGUGAGCGUUGAGUUAAGGGUCGUAGUAUGCUAGCAAAGAGAAGUAUCAACUUGAAGGUAAUUCAAAAGAAACUAAGAGGAAAUAAGACAUCUUGGUAGUAGGUUGGAUCAGUAUGGUAAUGGUAUGCUCGGUUCUUUUGGUUCUUACGGUGUGAUGAGGCUUUACAGGUGUUUUGUGGCAAUACUCUUGGGUUUGGCGACCUGCGUGACUUGGUUGAGUUAGAAGAAUUCAGUUCUGAUAUCUUGGUUAUGUGCAAAUAGGUUUCGUAAAGUUCUCGAUGAUUCCUUCCAUGGCUUGGGGUGGAUAUUUUAUACAAGCAUGAAGAGUUUUUUGUGCGUUAUGAUUUUCUCCUGAAUAGGAUAUGGUGAAAGGUUUCUAGCUAAUUGAAUAUGUAAUCUACUUGUGACUUAGAAUUGAUAAUGUGAUUCUCGUGCUUUUCACAUGAUGGCAUGAUAGAUGCGGUGUGUCCUGUGGGAUUGGGAUUUGCAUGUACAAGGUGGCAGUUCAGUUUUGGAGAGAAGGUCAUGAAUUUUGAACAGCAUGGACUGUUUCAGAUGUUUAGAUGAAUGUUAUUACUAAUUGGUAUUUCCUGAGAAGGGUGCGCAUUUCAGAAGGCGUACUGUGUUCUGACUUCGGAUGCUUCAUUGGUACUGCGGUACUCGUCUGGUUGAUCGACAGUUGAUAUUUAGAUUUUACCAUGUGGUGCAGGGGAAUUAUAGAAGUAUUUCUCAUGGGAUGAUUGUGUAUGAGUGAUAUGAUAGUCAUUCGAGUGGUGGAGCUGGGAUCGACAAUAGUGAUUCAUGUAUUCUAUGGAUUUGGAGACUGGAGUUCUUAGAAUUAAAUUAUUUCGGGGUUGCGGAAUGUGAAGAUGUGGCCAAUGUUAGCUAAAUGGUGGUGCGUGUUAUGGUUAGAUCAUUGUGGACUUUUGGAGGGCUAUUUAUCCCUUUGGGGAUGGCCAGAGUUGAUUUGGGGGCCCAUUGGUAGGCCCGAUGAGGAUGUGUAUUCUAUACCGGGUCAGAUUUGUUGACUCAGAACUGUUAGUGUUGAGAGGUGUGUCAUUCGGUUAGAGUUGAGCUUGUUCGUGUUUUGAGAUGUUCUGUGUGUUACUCUUCUAUGCUAUGAGGGGUUCUGAUUUGCUGGUUAUAUGCACACAUGAUGCGAUUCUGUUUGGGCAUUAUGGCGGAACUCGAGCCAGAUGGUUAAUGGGGUGUUGAAUGGUUAACGAGGGGUUGUGAUUGUCUUUCCUGUUUGUGGUAUAUGGUGCUAUCCAUUUCUCCAUGGUUAUAGUCACGCACUUCGUGUACUUGAUGUCAAAUUGUGUGUGGUUGUUGAUUUUUGAGCAUUGUGGCUUGAGAUAUUUCAUAUGGACCGGUGUUUGGCUAGGGUCACGCAUUGUAGCAGAGUUAUGUUGGAAUAUGAUCCUUUAUGUUAGUUCCAUGUAUCUCGGUUCUACUAUAUGUGAUGGGUUCUUAGCAUUGCGCUUGUGGUGGUAUCUAUUGAACCUGCGGGACGGUUCUUUCAUUUGAGUCAUUUUCCAUUUUUGAGUGCAUUUGAAUUGUUGCUUAUCGGUACACGGAUUGCACGGUUUGUUGCUCAGACAUUACCACCAAUUUUAAAUUUUUAACAUAUUCUAAAACAAGUUUACAUAAGUAAACUCUCAUAAAACUAGAUAAAAUGUCAUAACUAAAUACAGAAAUUUUCCAAAACGAGGGUGUCACUAAGUACAUGAGCCUCUAUAUAAUGACAUAGUCUGAUACACUGUCUAAAAAGUAGAACUGAAUAAAUAAAACUGAAAGAUACGGGGAGGAAGGUCAAGGUCUGUGAAUGCCAUAACAGCUACCUCGAUGAUCUCCGAAUAGGUAAAAACUCCACGAUCAACAACCACCGUGCCCGGAAAUGUCUGGAUCUGCACAGGAGGUGUAGGGUAUAGUAUGAGUACAAUUAACUCAAUAAGUAUCGCAAUUAAACAAGGCAAGAUAAGAGAAGAUUAAAUUAUUUAGGAUACUAGUUGAUUCAGAGUGAUUCUGUCCCAUUAGACCAACACAGUAUAAUAUUUAAACCUAACUCAUAAGGCUUCGUGAGAAGAAUAUUUGUGUGUACACGUGCAUUGUUUUUUCAAAAUACCCCGCUCAACAAUAUUAUGGCAUGUAGAGGAAAGAAACAAGUGAAUAAGAUAAAUGAUCAAGGAAAUACAAGUUCCACACACUGCACAGACAACUCACGUGAUGCACGGACAACUCACGUGCUAACGAUAGAACCUGCACGGAACACUCACGUGCGACACGAACAACUCACGUGUCAAUAAUAUCAAUAUAUGAAUCCACAUGGAUAAGUCACGUGCUGUACGGAUAACUCAUGUGCCAAUAAUAUGAAUACAUGGAUCCGCACGGACAACUCACGUGCUACACGAACAACUCACAUGCCAAUAAUAUCAAUACAUGGAUCUGCAUGGAUAACUCACGUGCUGCACGGACAACUCACAUGCCAAUAACAUAAUCCGCCCGGCAUAGCCGCAGGCCCCAGUCCAACAAUAUCAUACAUAAGCAAUAAAACAAGUAUACAGGUAUAUGAUGAAUGAAAUAAGAUUCUCAUGUCACUGGAUUGGUGUAAAUAACAUGCUAAAGUGUAGGCAUGUCCAUAGUGUUCUAUCAUAGCUCAAACCGGAAAUUUUAUCAAUGAAAAGCAUUUAUUAAGCUCGUUCAGGGGUUAAACCUCUAAGUAGCCUCAUCAGGGCUCAACUAGAUCACAUAAACUGUUACGAUAUGUGAGAUAUCAAAGCUUAAAGCUUAACAGUGCUUUAUGGGCUUAUAAGAUCCCGAGCACAACCCAAACAUCAAUAUAUAAUCCCGGUGCCUGCACAUGGGAUCAUCCCCAAUAAUGUCCGUAACCCAAAGGCACGUGGUUAUCAUAACAAUUUAGGCAACUAGUGCCUCAACCGAGUUUAAAUAUGAUACUUACCUCAAACCGAGAAAAUCUCUACUCCAACAAGCCCUUGCCUCGCGAGUCGGCCUCCGAAUACCUCGAAUCUAGCCAAAAACAAUUUUAUACAAUCAACACGAGCUAAAUGAAUCAAUUCCAUAUGAAAUUACUAAGUUCUUAAUCAAAAGUCAAAAAGUUAACUCAAAAGUUGACCCUCGGGCCCACGUCUCGAAAUCCGAUAAAAGUUAUAAAAUUCGGAAGCUCAUUUAACCACGAGUCCAGCCAUACAAAAUUUACCAAAAUCUAACACCAAAUCGUCAGUCAAAUCCCCAAAUUAAACUCUCCAAAUCCCUAGCCUCAAACUCCCAAAAUUCUACCUCCAAACACACAAAUUAGGUGGGAAAUUUAAUGGGGAAACAAUAUUAUUGAAUAAGUAUGAUCACAACUGACUUACCUCAACAAAUCAUUCGAAAUACCUCUUAAAAAUUUACUUAGACCAAGUUUGAAAAGUCCAAAAAUGAGAAAAAUCACGAAACCCUUAAAUUUAAUGUUCUGCCUAGUGCCUUCUCACCUGCGGAAUCGCUUUUGCAAUAAUAGUACCGCUUCUAUGGAAGUCACUUAAGUCCACAGGGUCCGCACCUGCGCUCCAAGUUCCGCACAUGCGGAAGCACUUGUGCGACCCUCGAUCCGCUUCUGCGAAGACAGCCUACACUCCCUUUCUCCGCAUCUGUGGGCUCGCAGAUGCAAAAGACCCCUAGCAUCUGCGUCACACCCCAAGCAAGCCCAUCUCCGCUCCUGCGCUACAUCAGCUGCACCUGCGGCCAAUCUCCUCGCAGGUGCGAUCACACCAGAAGGCUCCCAGCUUCAGUAAUUCUCUAAGUCCCAUUUUCAAUCCGAUAACCAUCUGAACUCCACCCUAGGGCCCCUCAAUACCUCAACCAAACACACCAAUAAGUCCUAAAACACGAUACGAACUUAGUUGAGCCCUCAAAUCUCAUCAAACACCAUCAAAACCCAAAUCGCACCCCAAAGCCUAAUAAAAACUAAGGAAUUCCAACUUCUACAAUCGAUGCUGAAACCUAUCAAAUCUAAGUCUGAUUGACCUAAAAUUUUUCACACAACUCAUAAAUGACACAACAGACCUACUCCAACACCCAAAACCAAAAUCCGAGCCCAGUAACCACAAAGUCAACUCUCGAUCAAACUUCUAAAUUUUCAAAGCUUUUUUCAACUUUUGCCAUUUCAAGUCUAAUUCAACUACGGAACUCCAAAUCACUAUCCGGACACACUACUAAGUCCAAAAUCACCCAACGGAGCUAUCGGAAUCAUCAAAACUCUAUUCCGGAGUUGUUUACACAAUAAGUCAACAUCUGGUCAACCUUUUCAACUUAAGCUCCCAACCUUGAGACUAAGUGUCUCAUCGCAUUUCGAAAUAUCCCCGGAACCGAAUCAACUACCCGGCAAGUCACAUAACAACAAUUAAGCAGUAAAUGGGGGAACGGGGCUACAACACUCAAAAUGACCGAUCGGGUCGUUACACUUAAACUCACACGGGCAAAAUUAGGGCUUCAAUUCAUAGACACAAACAAAAAAAUGUAAAUUCAUGCACCAGAUACUUCAGAGAGAAGAAGCCAAAGUGACAUUAAACACACAGAGAAAAACACACGGCAUCUCACGAGUUCAACAAAAAAUUGAGAGGAUAAGAAGAUAUUACCAAACUUCUUCAAAAACUUGAAAAGCAAGAGCCUUCUGCAUCAAAAUCAGAGGACAAAGCAGAAACACCUUAGAAUGAACAGAAACCACCAAAAAACACCAAAAACACAUUGUCACAGCCUCGUCGGAGAAAACAGAAUCAGCAAAAUCAAAUGUAAAGGGUAGGAUCGCUGGAAAGGCCGUGAUCUAAGGAAUCCAUUGAUGGCUCUAAUACCAUGAAAACAUGAAGGAUCGAAGCAGAUUUAAGGUAAAAUGUAAAUGCAAACCCUAGUUCUAACAGUCUCUGAGAGAGAACAAAAGGGAAAACAAUUUUCUCUUUUUAUUCGAUAGUCAACCCAUCUGUACAAAAUGAACGAGAGCUCUCUAAUUACAACAAGUGAACCGGGUCUUAUUAAGUUACAAUAGUCCAAUACAAAUGUGUGUUAGGGAGACUUUAGUUGGGC
RNAcentral lists this long non-coding RNA (30514 nucleotides) under Nicotiana tabacum (common tobacco). RNAcentral describes it as "long non-coding RNA (NTAB_LNC007744)". Lineage: Eukaryota; Viridiplantae; Streptophyta; Magnoliopsida; Solanales; Solanaceae. The record is from RNAcentral.